CCUACGGGGGGCAGCAGUGGGGAAUAUUGGACAAUGGGGGAAACCCUGAACCAGCGACGCCGCGUGAGUGAAGAAGUAUUUCGGUAUGUAAAGCUUCAUCAGUAGGAAAGAAAAUGACGGUACCUGACUAAGAAGCCCUGGCUAAAUACGUGCCAGCAGCCGCGGUAAUACGCAGGGUGCAAGCGUUAUCCGGAUUUACUGGGUGUAAAGGGAGCGUAGACGGGUGCGCAAGUCUGGAGUGAAACGCCGGGGCCCAACCCCGGAACUGCUGUGGAAACUGGCAGGCUGGAGUGGAGGAGAGGUAAGCGGAAUGCGUGGUGUAGCGGUGAAAUGCGUAGAUAUCAGGAAGAACACCGACGGCGAAGGCAGCUUACUGGACUGUAACUGACGUUGAGGCUCGAAGGCGUGGGGAGCAAACAGGAUUAGAUACCCGGGUAGUC
This 440-nucleotide ribosomal RNA is filed under the name uncultured bacterium. Its description in RNAcentral is "partial 16S ribosomal RNA". It matches the Rfam family "Bacterial small subunit ribosomal RNA", at positions 338 to 795 of the family's 1533-position model. The record is from RNAcentral.